CCUACGGGGGGCAGCAGUGGGGGAUAUUGCACAAUGGGGGAAACCCUGAUGCAGCGACGCCGCGUGUGGGAAGACGGUCCUCUGGAUUGUAAACCACUGUCCCCAGGGACGAAGAUGACGGUACCUGUGGAGGAAGCUCCGGCUAACUACGUGCCAGCAGCCGCGGUAAUACGUAGGGAGCGAGCGUUGUCCGGAAUUACUGGGUGAAAAGGGAGCGUAGGCGGGGAUGCAAGUUGGGGGUCAAAACUACCGGCUCAACUGGUAGUCGCACUCAAAACUGCAGCUCGUGAGUGAAGUAGAGGCAGGGGGAAUUCCAGGUGGAGCGGUGAAAUGCGUAGAUAUUAGGAGGAACACCAGUGGCGAGGGCGGCCUGCUGGGCUUUGACUGACGCUGAGGCUCGAAAGUGUGGGGAGCAAACAGGAUUAGAUACCCGAGUAGUC
RNAcentral lists this ribosomal RNA (440 nucleotides) under uncultured bacterium. Its description in RNAcentral is "partial 16S ribosomal RNA". It matches the Rfam family "Bacterial small subunit ribosomal RNA", at positions 338 to 795 of the family's 1533-position model. The record is from RNAcentral.